Molecule: ribosomal RNA, 1358 nt
Filed under: Lingulaulax polyedra
Lineage: Eukaryota; Dinophyceae; Gonyaulacales; Lingulodiniaceae
Description: Lingulodinium polyedra partial Bacterial large subunit ribosomal RNA
Rfam family: Bacterial large subunit ribosomal RNA
Source: RNAcentral
CGGCAGGUUAAGGCCUUACGGGCUGUAGCCAGAGGGAAACCGAGUCUUAAUAGGGCGAAAUUGUCGCGGGCGGUAGACGCGAAACCUAGUGAUCUACCCAUGAGCAGGUUGAAGCGCGGGUCAUACCGCGUGGAGGACCGAACCCACUUGGGUUGAAAACCGAGGGGAUGACUUGUGGGGAGGAGUGAAAGUCUAAUCAAACGUGGAGAUAUCUCGUUCUCUCCGAAAUGCCUUUAGGGGCAGCGUCGAGCCACUAUCUACCGGGGGUAGAGAGACUGAUUUGGUUUGGGGCCCUUCGCGGGGUACCCUGCUGAACCAAACUCCGAAUACCGGUAGAACUAUCUCGGCAGUGAGUCCGCGGGGGAUAAGCUCCGCGGUCGAGAGGGAAACAACCCAGACCGCCUGCUAAGGUCCCAAAGUCUUGCUAAGUCACUAAGGAUGUUAAGAUACUGUGACAGCCAGGAUGUUGGCUUAGAAGCAGCCAUCAUUUAAAAAGUGCGUAAUAGCUUACUGGUCGAGUGUUUUAGCACCGAUAAUGAACGGGAGUAAGCAAGACACCGAAGCAGCGGAUUCAGCUCACGCUGAGUGGUAGGAGAGCGUUCCAGCACAGAUACAAGCCGUACCGAAAGGAGCGGUGUCGGGUGCUGGAAGUGAUUAUGCCGGAAUGAGUAACGAUAAAACAGGUGAGAAUCCUGUUCGCCGCAAACCUAAGGUUUCCUGGGGAAGGUAAUUCCGCCCAGGGUUAGCCGGUACCUUAGUUGAGGCCGAAAGGCGUAGACGAUGGAGAGCAGGUUAAUAUUCCUGCGCCGGAUAUGUGGACCGAUGGGGGGACGUUGUGUAGAUUGUGAUCGGGCUGACAGAAAUGCCCGUAGGGGAAGACAAGGUCGUGGAUAGGAAAAUCCGCCACAUCAGACCAAGGCUUUCACUCGAGUCCAAUGAUGACGAAGUCAUAUGACGCAUAACCAAGAAAAGCCUCUAAGGAUUGAAGCAUAUCUGACCGUACUAAAACUGACACAGGUAGGUGAGGCGCGUAGCCUAAGGCGCUCGAGAAAACGCUGGUUAAGGAACUCUGCAAAUUGACCCCGUAAGUUAGCGAUAAGGGGUGCCUCCGACGGUUCACGCUGUUGGAGGCCACAGAAAAUCGGCUCUGGCGACUGUUUACUAAAAACACAGGACUCUGCGAACUCGUAAGAGGAUGUAUAGAGUCUGACUCCUGCUCGGUGCCGGUAAGUUAAGGAAGAGGGUUAGCCUUCGGGCGAAGCUCGCAACCGAAGCUCCGGUAAACGGCGGCCGUAACUAUGACGGUCCUAAGGUAGCGAAGUUCCUUGUCGGGUAAGUUCCGACCUGCAUGAAAGGCG